This 52-nucleotide transfer RNA is filed under the name Mesabolivar sp. ITV1036I1. RNAcentral describes it as "tRNA-Thr". Lineage: Eukaryota; Metazoa; Arthropoda; Arachnida; Araneae; Pholcidae. The record is from RNAcentral.
UGUUGAGUAGUUUAUUUAAAAAUGUAAAUUUUGUAAAUUUAAGAAGAAAUAU